AGGAAGUUAACCAGAAUCAUAUUCCAAUAAUCUUAACAUAUCCUAGGGUAAUAUUCAACGAGUCAAAAUAUACAAUAAUGUUUACAAUUCAAAAAUUAGCAUACAUAAGUUUGAAAAUGUUUGAAAAUAAAAGAUUUCUGAAAGAUUUGAAGUUUCAGCAACAAUCAAUCGUUACUCUUAAGUAAGGUCUCACUGCUUUUCUCUGCCUUUUGUUCAUUUGCUCCACCUACAAAAGAUAGAUAAAUAAAUGAUUCACUAAAAAAAACUUAAAAACCCUUUUAAGAUGUCAAGCAAUAAGAUCAGGACCAUCUUUCAUGGUACGAUGAGUCAGCCGCAUGGUACUACAACUAAAAUAGAGAUUCAGAUACAACAACAACAACUACCCAGUAUACUCCCACCAGGUGGGGUCUGGGGAGGGUAAUAUGAUUGCACGGGCUUCCACCAAUUACCAAAUCAAAUCCUCCAAAUGACUCUAUCAGUUGCUCCAAGCGGUCUCCAUUCAGCUGCUGCACAUCGUUAAAAUGUAUAAGAUUCCCUCUCUGAUUAGUUUGCUCCAAAUAGAGAUUGAGAUAGAUAUGACAAAAAACACAAAUAAAAAGACAAAACAUAACUAAAAUAUAACAUUUCUAAAAUAACUUGAUAAACAUCAGCUCUAUCUUCACCAAGGGCUGGUCAAGUUAUAAGAUCAAGAAUCACUUGAAGGCAGCCAACAUCUAAAACGUACUGUCAAACAAAUGAAUUAAAAUUUAGUAAGUCAGGACCAUUGGUGGCGUGCAACCUAAACGAAUGUGUUGAAUUUCAUUAUCCACAGAAGGCUAUCAAGUGUUUAACUACAUGGAAUCGCACGGAACGAGAACUAUGAGACUGAACUGACCAUCAAGGAUUUUCAAUUAACAACAUGAAAGAGAUGCGUGCAUGUAAAAACGCAUGAACAGGGGGCUCAAUGCAAUGAUUAACACACCCAGACUUCAUCAGCAAAGGAUCCUAAUCAUAAAGGCAACAUCCAUUGAUUCAUGUGAAUGAUCAUGAGAGAGACUAACUCUAAUGAAUCAAAAAGCACUGACAAUGACUCGUUACAAAUUAAAACAGAGAAGACCAAAACCCAGGCAAAUCAUGAUUUAUUCUGCAGAAUUAUCCUCUAAUCACAGCAAGUAGCUACCUUAUUCAUAUCAAAGUACAAAAUUCAUAGCCAUCUCGAAGUCCAUAGUUAUCACUUCAGACAAAAAAACUUUGGACAAAAAAUAACACAAGCAGAAUAUAACUAAUAUUGUAUUACAGAAUACACGAGCUUAUGUAAAGUCUAAAAUUAAGAUGAUACAAAAAAUUAAGAAUGCAAGUCUCUCUCUUGUAUCAAAGUAAAUAUUAAGAUUCCAAACUUCGAAAAAUUGGUUGGAAAAGGAAGAUUCAAAAACAUAUAAAAUUUGGGACUCACAUGGUUCUUAAAAUUCAUUUUUGAACUGGAUCAUGUAUAUUGCAAUCAUAUUUUUCUUUUUCAUGCGCUUUUUAUGCUGGGACCAGUCAGCAGUUAUUUAUUUCACAUUUAUCAUCUUCUUAAAAGCCAAAGAAGAAUGUAGAAGCCUGUGGUUAUAGUUAUUUAUAUAACUGUUAUAAUGAGUGUUGGAGGCCUAGUACAAUCAGAUGCCUCUAGGAUGCUUCAUAGUAUUUCUCAAGUGGUUUUCCUAAGAUUGCUUCAACGAACCCCAGGAUUACCAACUUGAAGUUGGUGAAUGAAAAACAGAGAAAAACUACUAAUUUUGCUGUUCAAAACAAAAAAAUUGGCCAAAGGCUGCUUGUGUUUUUGAAUAAUGAGAAAUCACGUUAUUCAGCUAGUUUACAGCUAUAUGAAGGAAGAUAUCCAACUCUAACUAGAUAGAAUAUAGAUCAACAAAGUUAAUUCAGUGGAUCCUAUAAGAAAACAACUUAUUUAAUCUUAUUCGGAAUUCCCUCAGUAAUAACACCAGUAGAAUCUUCUGCUGGUCAGACAAAAAUGAUGGAAAAGAAAAUUCUUCUCAUUUCUCGGAAUACCCCUUUGUCUCAACAACAACAACAACUACCCAUUAUACUCCCACCAGGUGGGGUCUGGGGAGGGUAAUAUGUAGACAAGCCUUACCCCUACCCGAAAGGGC
This 2126-nucleotide long non-coding RNA is filed under the name Nicotiana benthamiana. Its description in RNAcentral is "long non-coding RNA (NBEN_LNC006647)". The record is from RNAcentral. Lineage: Eukaryota; Viridiplantae; Streptophyta; Magnoliopsida; Solanales; Solanaceae.